GACGAACGCUGGCGGCGUGCUUAACACAUGCAAGUCGAACGGAAAGGCGCUGCUUUUGUUGGGUGCUCGAGUGGCGAACGGGGGAGUAACACGUGAGUAACCUGCCCUUGACUUUGGGGUAACUUCAGGGAACUGGGGCUAAUAUAGGAUAGGAGCUCCUGCUGCAUGUUGGGGGUUGGAGAGUUUCGGCGUUUGGGGAUGGACUCGCGGCUUAUCAGCUUGUUGGGGUGGUAGGUGCUUACAACGGCUUUGACGGGUAGCCGGCCUGAGAGGGUGACCGGCGACAUUGGGACUGCGGUACGGACCAGACGCGUACGGGAGGCAGCAGUGGGGAACCUUGCACAGUGGGCGGACGCGUGAUGCAGCAGUGUCGCGUGCGGGAUGACGGGCUUCGGGUUGUAAACCGAUUUCGCCUGAGACGAAGCGUGAGUGACGGUACUGGGUAAAGAAGCAACGGCUAACUACGUG
This 468-nucleotide ribosomal RNA is filed under the name uncultured bacterium. RNAcentral describes it as "partial 16S ribosomal RNA". It matches the Rfam family "Bacterial small subunit ribosomal RNA", at positions 28 to 507 of the family's 1533-position model. The record is from RNAcentral.